UCGGAUUAGCUGGUUGGUGAGGUAACGGCUCACCAAGGCGACGAUCCGUAGCUGGUCUGAGAGGAUGAUCAGCCACACUGGGACUGAGACACGGCCCAGACUCCUACGGGAGGCAGCAGUGGGGAAUAUUGGACAAUGGGCGAAAGCCUGAUCCAGCCAUGCCGCGUGUGUGAAGAAGGCUUUCGGGUUGUAAAGCACUUUCAGUGGGGAAGAAGGCCUGGCGGUUAAUACCCGCCAGGGACGACAUCACCCACAGAAGAAGCACCGGCUAACUCCGUGCCAGCAGCCGCGGUAAUACGGAGGGUGCGAGCGUUAAUCGGAAUUACUGGGCGUAAAGCGCGCGUAGGCGGCUUGAUAAGCCGGGUGUGAAAGCCCUGGGCUCAACCUGGGAACGGCAUCCGGAACUGUCAAGCUAGAGUGCAGGAGAGGAAGGUAGAAUUCCCGGUGUAGCGGUGAAAUGCGUAGAGAUCGGGAGGAAUACCAGUGGCGAAGGCGGCCUUCUGGACUGACACUGACGCUGAGGUGCGAAAGCGUGGGUAGCAAACAGGAUUAGAUACCCUGGUAGUCCACGCCGUAAACGAUGUCGACUAGCCGUUGGGCUCCUCGCGAGCUUAGUGGCGCAGUUAACGCGAUAAGUCGACCGCCUGGGGAGUACGGCCGCAAGGUUAAAACUCAAAUGAAUUGACGGGGGCCCGCACAAGCGGUGGAGCAUGUGGUUUAAUUCGAUGCAACGCGAAGAACCUUACCUACCCUUGACAUCCUCGGAAUCCGCCGGAGACGGCGGAGUGCCUUCGGGAGCCGAGUGACAGGUGCUGCAUGGCUGUCGUCAGCUCGUGUUGUGAAAUGUUGGGUUAAGUCCCGUAACGAGCGCAACCCUUGUCCCUAUUUGCCAGCGAUUCGGUCGGGAACUCUAGGGAGACUGCCGGUGACAAACCGGAAGAAGGUGGGGACGACGUCAAGUCAUCAUGGCCCUUACGGGUAGGGCU
This 986-nucleotide ribosomal RNA is filed under the name Halomonas sp. NCCP-920. Its description in RNAcentral is "bacterial SSU rRNA". It matches the Rfam family "Bacterial small subunit ribosomal RNA", at positions 236 to 1215 of the family's 1533-position model. Lineage: Bacteria; Pseudomonadati; Pseudomonadota; Gammaproteobacteria; Oceanospirillales; Halomonadaceae. The record is from RNAcentral.